Molecule: transfer RNA, 72 nt
Filed under: Ornithorhynchus anatinus (platypus)
Lineage: Eukaryota; Metazoa; Chordata; Mammalia; Monotremata; Ornithorhynchidae
Rfam family: tRNA
About the family: Transfer RNA (tRNA) molecules are approximately 80 nucleotides in length. Their secondary structure includes four short double-helical elements and three loops (D, anti-codon, and T loops). Further hydrogen bonds mediate the characteristic L-shaped molecular structure. tRNAs have two regions of fundamental functional importance: the anti-codon, which is responsible for specific mRNA codon recognition, and the 3' end, to which the tRNAs corresponding amino acid is attached (by aminoacyl-tRNA synthetases). tRNAs cope with the degeneracy of the genetic code in two manners: having more than one tRNA (with a specific anti-codon) for a particular amino acid; and 'wobble' base-pairing, i.e. permitting non-standard base-pairing at the 3rd anti-codon position.
Source: Rfam by way of RNAcentral
AGUAGUGUGGUUUAGUGGAAAAACCAUGGGCUUGAGAGUCAGAGGACGUGGAUUCUAAUCCUGUCUCUGCCA